This 24-nucleotide unclassified non-coding RNA is filed under the name Mus musculus (house mouse). RNAcentral's name for it is "oocyte_clustered_small_RNA1963". The record is from RNAcentral. Lineage: Eukaryota; Metazoa; Chordata; Mammalia; Rodentia; Muridae.
UGGGAGAACGCUGUGAGGCAUCUG